RNAcentral lists this unclassified non-coding RNA (328 nucleotides) under plant metagenome. RNAcentral describes it as "partial contains small subunit ribosomal RNA, internal transcribed spacer 1, and 5.8S ribosomal RNA". The record is from RNAcentral.
UUUCCGUAGGUGAACCUGCGGAAGGAUCAUUAAAUAGUACCACAGAUUACAUAUGCAAAUAUGACAAUCUACUACUAUAUACCAUUCCGAGUACUCUUUUUCCAUGUUGCUUCCGCGAGGCAGUCACUUCAAGUGGCCGUUUGUUCCGGAUCUACCUUCUUGGAGAGCCGGCUGUGGGCGAGAUUUCCUUGCGAAAGGUCAAUUACAAAUCCAAUUAUGGUUUUAUUUUGUGUCUGAAUAGAUUUUUUUUUCUUUCUUUUUUUAAUUAAUAAAUACAAAAAAAAUAAAAUAAAAUACAAAACUUUCAACAACGGAUCUCUUGGUUCUC